UGCGUAGGCGGCUGAUUAAGUCGGAUGUGAAAUCCCUGAGCUUAACUUAGGAAUUGCAUUCGAUACUGGUCAGCUAGAGUAUGGGAGAGGAUGGUAGAAUUCCAGGUGUAGCGGUGAAAUGCGUAGAGAUCUGGAGGAAUACCGAUGGCGAAGGCAGCCAUCUGGCCUGAUACUGACGCUGAGGUACAAAGCAUGGGGAGCAAACA
This 206-nucleotide ribosomal RNA is filed under the name uncultured bacterium. RNAcentral's name for it is "partial 16S ribosomal RNA". It matches the Rfam family "Bacterial small subunit ribosomal RNA", at positions 568 to 774 of the family's 1533-position model. The record is from RNAcentral.